RNAcentral lists this unclassified non-coding RNA (725 nucleotides) under Hevea brasiliensis (rubber tree). The record is from RNAcentral. Lineage: Eukaryota; Viridiplantae; Streptophyta; Magnoliopsida; Malpighiales; Euphorbiaceae.
CAAAAUUAUGGAAUAAAAAGAGAAGAAAGGUGUUUGGUCACCUAGAGAUAGCAAAUCCGGUGAGAUCUAGUUGUUGAGCGCAGUGGCUCCAUUUUCCGAAUGGUUUUGAUUGGUUUGCCGGUGCUUCGGAGCUCACAAGCUUGUUGGAGAGAUAGAGAAGGGUUCGUUUCUGGUGGUUGUUGCUGGUUCUCAAAGCUAAAAUCUAGAAAGUGGAAAUUGGGUGGUUUCCGGUGACUAUUGCACCGGAAAAAGGAGUAAAGGAAGAGGCUUUUGGGGUUGUUUGGCUGGUUGAUUUUUUUUUUUUUUUGAACUGGUGGAUUUGGGUGAUGGUGUUAGCUGGAAAAUGAAGGAAAGAGGUUGGGUUUCUAUGGUGAGGAAAUGGUUGGAGAAGAAGAGCAAAAAUGGGUCUGUUUGUUGGCGGUUUUGGGGAUUUCAGGUGGUGGUUUGGGAUGGUCUGGAAGCUGGUCGGAGAAGGAACAGGUUUAAAAGCUGUGUUUAGUCAGUUGUUUGGUGGUUUUGGAGUCGGUUUGGUCACGAUUUGGAGGUGGUGCUCCAGUAUGGAGGGUUGUACUUUGAUUGUUCUCCGACAGUGACAUGGGGAGCUCAAAAAAAUUGAGAUUUUCAAGGUGGUUCUCUGGUUCUUGGCUGCUGAAAAAAUAGGUGAAUGGAGGUUGUUUCAGGCGAGAUUCUGACCGGAAGAGAGGGGUAUUGUGGGGUGUUGUUUG